UACGUAGGGUGCAAGCGUUAAUCGGAAUUACUGGGCGUAAAGCGUGCGCAGGCGGUUUUGUAAGUUUGUCGUGAAAGCCCCGGGCUCAACCUGGGAACUGCAUUUGUGACUGCAAGGCUAGAGUACGGCAGAGGGGGAUGGAAUUCCGCGUGUAGCAGUGAAAUGCGUAGAUAUGCGGAGGAACACCAAUGGCGAAGGCAAUCCCCUGGGCCUGUACUGACGCUCAUGCACGAAAGCGUGGGGAGCAAACAGG
RNAcentral lists this ribosomal RNA (253 nucleotides) under uncultured bacterium. Its description in RNAcentral is "partial 16S ribosomal RNA". It matches the Rfam family "Bacterial small subunit ribosomal RNA", at positions 524 to 776 of the family's 1533-position model. The record is from RNAcentral.